This is a non-coding RNA of Podarcis lilfordi (Lilford's wall lizard), 76 nucleotides long. The record is from the annotation of a GenBank genome assembly. NCBI's taxonomy places the organism in Eukaryota, Metazoa, Chordata, Lepidosauria, Squamata, Lacertidae.
UGGAGCAUGGCUCAGUCAGUAGAUCAUGAGACUCUUAAUCUCAGGGCCUUGGGUUUGAGCCCCACACUGGGCAAAA